CAAGUGUCUGAAAUUUGUAUUCUCUACCAACAUUAUAGUAUUCUAGGAAGGUGAGCCAUAGUGACAACUCAGACAAAUGUCUGAACCUGCUCACAACAGAACAACUUUUGUCACAGUAAGAAGGGCCUUACAGUUAUGACAUGGGACAAGUUCUAUGGACUCUAUUCUUGGCUGUGCCGCAUGCAUCCUCUUUGGCCAAGGGAAUUCAUUUGACCUCACCAUGCCUCAGUCCUGAGAUCCCUAAGAAAAGAUGAGAAGAAAACAUGAGAACUUGGAUGUCCUUGGGAUAUGCAUUGGGAGGAGACAACCUCGUAACUGUGCAGUCAGCUCUUGCUCUCAUUCCCCUCUGUUAAUACAGCUAAAAGUAUAAAUAACUCUUUCAGUAUCUUUUUGAGUGUAAAGGGUGACUGUAAUCUCUGCAAGUCUACUGUGUGACCAUAAACAUAUUAAAAGGUCAAGCAGAGUCAACAAUGACAAAA
Molecule: non-coding RNA, 479 nt
Organism: Meleagris gallopavo (turkey)
Lineage: Eukaryota; Metazoa; Chordata; Aves; Galliformes; Phasianidae
Source: RefSeq, a predicted model, not a curated record